Molecule: ribosomal RNA, 1453 nt
Filed under: uncultured Bordetella sp.
Lineage: Bacteria; Pseudomonadati; Pseudomonadota; Betaproteobacteria; Burkholderiales; Alcaligenaceae
Description: partial 16S-23S ribosomal RNA intergenic spacer
Rfam family: Bacterial small subunit ribosomal RNA
Source: RNAcentral
GGUUGAUUAUGGCUCAGAUUGAACGCUGGCGGGAUGCUUUACACAUGCAAGUCGAACGGCAGCACGGACUUCGGUCUGGUGGCGAGUGGCGAACGGGUAGGUAAUGUAUCGGAACGUGCCUGGCGGGGAUAACUACGCGAAAGCGUAGCUAAUACCGCAUACGCCCUUCGGGGGAAAGCGAGACCUUCGGGCCUCGCACUAAUGCGGCAGCCGACCUCCGGAUUAGCUAGUUGGUGGGGUAACGGCUCACCAAGGCGACGGUCAUGCGCUGGUUUGAGGGGACGACCCAACCACAUGCGGGACUGAGACACAGUACAGACCCUGCAGGAGGCAGCAGUGGGGAAUUUUGGACAAUGGAAACCUGAUCCAGCCAUCCCGCGUGUGCGAUGAAGGCCUUCGGGUUGUAAAGCACUUUUGGCAGGAAAGAAACGGCACGGGAUAAUACCCCGUGCAACUGACUGACUGCCAUACAGAAUAAGCACCGGCUAACUACGUGCCAGCAGCCGUUAUCGUAGGGUGCAAGCGUUAAUCGGAAUUACUGGGCGUAAAGCGUGCGCAGGCGGUUCCGGAAAGAAGAUGUGAAAUCGAGCUUAACUUUGGAACUGCAUUUUUAACUACCGAGCUAGAGUGUGUCAGAGGGAGGUGGAAUUCCGCGUGUAGCAGUGAAAUGCGUAGAUAUGCGGAGGAACACCGAUAGCGAAGGCAGCCUCACGGGGAUAACACUGACGCUCAUGCACGAAAGCGAGGCAAACAGGAUUAGAUACCCUGGUAGUCCACGCCUAAACGAUGUCAACUAGCUGUUGGGGCCUUCGGGCCUUGGUAUGCGACUAACGCGUGAAGUUGACCGCCUGGGGAAAUUACGGUCGCAAGAUUAAAACUCAAAGGAAUUGACAGGGACCCGCACAAGCCAGUGGAUGAUGUGGAUUAAUUCGAUGCAACGCGAAAAACCUUACCUACCCUUGACAUGUCUGGAAUCCGAAGAGAUUUGGGAGUGCUCGCAAGAGAACCGGAACACAGGUGCUGCAUGGCUGUCGUCAGCUCGUGUCGUGAGAUGUUGGGUUAAGUCCGCAACAGGCGCAACCCUUGUCAUUAGUUGCUACGAAGGGCACUCUAAUGAGACUGCCGGUGACAAACCGGAGGAAGGUGAGGAUGACGUCAAGUCCUCCUUGGCCCUUAUGGGUAGGGCUUCACACGUCAUACAAUGGUCGGGACAGAGGGUCGCCAACCCGCGAGGAGGUAUCCGGGGAAACCCGAUCGUAGUCGGAUCGCAGUCUGCAACUCGACUGCGUGAAGUCAGAAUCGCUGUCGGAUGUGUCGCGGUGAAUGCGUUCCCGGGUCUUGUACACACGCCGUCACCAUGGGAGUGGGUUUUACCAGAAGUAGUUAGCCCUAACCGUAGGAGGGCGAUUACCACGGUAGGAUUCAUGACUGGGGUGAAGUCGUAACAAGGUAG